Molecule: transfer RNA, 67 nt
Filed under: Fonticula alba
Lineage: Eukaryota; Rotosphaerida; Fonticulaceae
Rfam family: tRNA
About the family: Transfer RNA (tRNA) molecules are approximately 80 nucleotides in length. Their secondary structure includes four short double-helical elements and three loops (D, anti-codon, and T loops).
Source: Rfam by way of RNAcentral
GAACAUAGUCUAAUGGUAUGAUUCUCGCUUUGGGUGCGAGAGGUUCCGGGUUCGAUUCCCGGUGUUC